AAACUUGCCCCGAGAUGAGUUCUCCCUGAGACUUUAAGUCUCCUGAAGGAACGUUAAAGACGAUGACGUUGAUAGGCCGGGUGUGUAAGCGCAGCGAUGCGUUGAGCUAACCGGUACUAAUGAACCGUGAGGCUUAACCUU
RNAcentral lists this ribosomal RNA (141 nucleotides) under Klebsiella pneumoniae. RNAcentral's name for it is "partial 23S ribosomal RNA". It matches the Rfam family "Bacterial large subunit ribosomal RNA", at positions 2790 to 2925 of the family's 2925-position model. The record is from RNAcentral. Lineage: Bacteria; Pseudomonadati; Pseudomonadota; Gammaproteobacteria; Enterobacterales; Enterobacteriaceae. RNAcentral also lists the same sequence under 12 other names.